CCACAUCAACAACAGCCCAAGGUCAGUUCAUCUACGCCAACAACCCACCACACGCCACAUCAACAACAGCCCAAGGUCAGUUCAUCUACCCCAACAACCCACCACACACCACAUCAACAACAGCCCAAGGUCAGUUCAUCUACGCCAACAACCCACCACACGCCACAUCAACAACAGCCCAAGGUCAGUUCAUCUACGCCAACAACCCACCACACGCCACAUCAACAACAGCCCAAGGUCAGUUCAUCUACCCCAACAACCCACCACACACCACAUCAACAACAGCCCAAGGUCAGUUCAUCUACCCCAACAACCCACCACACACCACAUCAACAACAGCC
This is a long non-coding RNA of Oncorhynchus keta (chum salmon), 341 nucleotides long. RefSeq lists it as uncharacterized. The transcript has 4 exons. The record is from RefSeq and is a predicted model, not a curated record. Lineage: Eukaryota; Metazoa; Chordata; Actinopteri; Salmoniformes; Salmonidae.